AAAAGGGAGAGAGAGAGAGGGAGAAAAGGGAGAGUGAGGGGAGAGGGAAAAGGAGAGCGCGAGAGGGAAAGGCAGAGAGGGAGAGAGCAGGGCAAAGGGAGUGAGAAAAAAGGGAGGAUGAAAGGGGAAUGGGGGAAGGAGAGAGCGAGAGAAAGGGAGAGCGAGAAAAAAGGGAGAGAGCAAGAGGGGGAAAGGCAGAGCGAGAGAGGGAAUAGGAGAGAGAGGGAGAGAGAGGGAAAGGGAGAGAGAGAAAAAAUAGAGAGGGGGAAAGGGAGAGAGGAGAAGGAAAGUGGGAGAGAGAAAAGAGGGAGAGAGAGAGAGAAAAAAGGGAGAGUGAGUGGAGAGACAGAAUAAAGGGAGAGAGGGAGAAGAAAAGGGGGAGAGGGAAAAGGAGAGAGGAGGGAAAGAGAGAGGGAGAGGGAAAAGGAGAGAGAGCAAGAGAGAGCAGGGCAUAGGGAGUGAGAAAAAAGGGAGAAAGCGGAAGGGGGAGAGGAGAGUGAGAGGGGAGAGAGAAAAAAGGGAGCGAGGGAGAGAGGAAAAAAGGGAGGGUGAGAGGGGGAAAGGGAGAGAGAAAAAAGGGAGAGAGCAAGAGGGGGAAAGCAGGGCAAAGGGAGUGAGAAAAAAGGGAGGGGAAGAGAGGAGAGAGAGAAAAAAGGGAGGAUGAGAGGGGAGAGGGGGAAAGGGAGAGAGAGCGAGAUAAGGGAGAGAGCAAGAGGGGGAAAGGCAGAGCGAGAGAGGGAAAAGGAGAGAGGGAGAAGUAAAGGGAGAGAGAGAAAAAAGGGAGAGAAGAGGGGAGAGGGAAAAAAAGAGGGUGAAUGAGAAGUGAUAAGGGGGAGAGAGAGAAAAAAGGUAAGGGGAGUGAGAAAAAGGUGGAGAAUGAGGAGAGAAAAGGGGGGAGAGCGAACAAAAGUGGAGUGAGAAAAAGGGAGGAGAGAGCGACAGAAAGGAAUAGAAAGAGAGAAAAAGGGGAAGGGAGAAAGAGGAAGAGAGAAAAAGGGGGAGAAUAAGGAGCGAAAGGGGGAGUUAGGAAAAGGGAGAGAAGGG
RNAcentral lists this long non-coding RNA (1044 nucleotides) under Salmo salar (Atlantic salmon). RNAcentral's name for it is "lncRNA (ENSSSAG00000104585.1)". The record is from RNAcentral. Lineage: Eukaryota; Metazoa; Chordata; Actinopteri; Salmoniformes; Salmonidae.